This 411-nucleotide ribosomal RNA is filed under the name Hepatozoon canis. RNAcentral's name for it is "SSU rRNA". It matches the Rfam family "Eukaryotic small subunit ribosomal RNA", at positions 465 to 873 of the family's 1831-position model. The record is from RNAcentral. Lineage: Eukaryota; Apicomplexa; Hepatozoidae.
UAGUGACAAGAAAUAACAAUACAAGGCAGUUAAAAUGCUUUGUAAUUGGAAUGAUAGAAAUUUAAACCCUUUUUAAAGUAUCAAUUGGAGGGCAAGUCUGGUGCCAGCAGCCGCGGUAAUUCCAGCUCCAAUAGCGUAUAUUAAAAUUGUUGCAGUUAAAAAGCUCGUAGUUGAAGUUCUGCUAAAAGUAACCGGUCUGCUUUUAAUAAAGGUGGUAUCUUGGUGUGUAUUUAGCAAUGAUGUCCUUUGAAGUGUUUUUUACUUUAUUGUAAUAAAGCAUAUUCAGGACUUUUACUUUGAGAAAAUUAGAGUGUUUCUAGCAGGCUAACGCUUUGAAUACUGCAGCAUGGAAUAAUAAGAUAGGAUUUUAGUUCUACAUUAUUGGUUUUAAGAGCUAAAUUAAUGAUUGAU